Clupea harengus (Atlantic herring) is the source of this 4724-nucleotide long non-coding RNA. NCBI's taxonomy places the organism in Eukaryota, Metazoa, Chordata, Actinopteri, Clupeiformes, Clupeidae. The record is from Ensembl.
UGCCCUUGGCAUUUGGCAUUAGAACAUUAGAACAAAUGACAAGCAUUCCCUUCCUUUUUAGUAUCCUAUUAGUAGCGGCUUAGUUUGAGAGGAUCCCUGUGUGAGCAUGCGAGGAGCAGAGCUACUUCAGCCUCCAUCUUUCUAACUAAAAAGUAAAACUAAAAAAGAAACAUACUAAUGCUGCUAAUAUGUUGCUACCUGUGGCUGCAGACGAAGAAAUGAACUUUGACCUUGCUUCCCCUGUCUCCUCUCUCACGUCUCUCGCUCCACCUCAUUUAUCCACCAUGAAACGACCUCUCACUCCUGUCUUCUCACACUUUCACCACUCUUCCUUCCUGUGCCCUCGUCCUCUCAUCUUCACCAUCCUCACCAUCAUCACCAUCAAACAGCAGAUUUCUUCAGUUUGGAAAUACCCUCCUUCAAUGUCAAUCUGGACAGCCUCCUGGACGAGUUCAGGGUGUCGCCCUGCCGGAGCUCCCUGAUGGUGCCUGACUCCCCGGAUGGAGAUGCCACUUCUGAGGAGGAGGGCCAGAGCACCACACUAUGACCCCAGAACGGAACAGAACACACCCCAAUCCUACAGGAGGCGCUGUCUUCUUUCUCUAUCUAUCUUCAUGUUGUCCCUCGGUCUCUUUCUCUCUCUCCGUUCAGUUUCUCUCUCUGAAUCCUCCUUUCUAUCCUCUCUCUCUCUCUGUCUGUUUUCAGUUUCUCCCGCUAUCCCUUUACUCUUUCUCUCUCUUGCUUUCUCUCUCUCUGCCUUUCACUACUGAUGAAGCCACUGAUGAAUGCACAACUGAGUGUCAACCAGCCAUCAUCCGCAGAACUACAGACUUGGGUUUGCCACAGUCACUCUUCCGCUCUUCACAAAGCCACUGAAAAAAGGGACCUUUAAUCUCCACAGACGACUUAACUUCUCCAGCUCUAUAUGUGACUUCAACUGCACGUAUGGUGCCAUGGAGGAAAAAACUGAUUCGAUCGUGCUGAAUCUGACCAGAAGGGACAUCAAUAGGGAGAGGUAACCGAGAAGGAAAGGAGAAGAAAAAAAAUGUAUGUCAAUUGUGUUCAUUUGUUCCUUGUCUUUUUCAUUUGUGAUAUGUACCAUAUUUUUACUUUUGUAUAUUUUUUUUGUAUCGGUUCAGGGUUUUUUUGUUGGCCUUAGGAAAGUCAGGGAUCAGGUUGCAAAGCAGCGCUGAUUCAGACAGCGGUGUCGGUGGAGAUUGCCUCAGGACAGAGAGAGAGGUUAUUAUUGUGUGUGUUUUACAGGGUAUGAAAGGUUGGCCUCAUGCAAUAUAAAUGUUGCCCAUUGUCAAAAUCAGGACGAAACAUGAACUUGCCAUGAAUAUCUGACAAAAACCCAUAUGCUCUCUCUCUGUCUCUCUUUCUCUCUCUCUCUCUCUCUCUCUCGCUCUUUCUCUCUUGCUUGCUGGCUCUCUCUCGAUCAUUUUCUCUAAUCCUAACCUUCACACACAAACACACACACACAAACACAAACGUGGAAGAUAGUCACGCUCAGAAAAUUGAGUGAAAAGAUGCACUUGUAAAUCUUCACAUUGCUGUCAAAGCGAAUUUACUUCAGUAUUCACUGGGCUCUCAUUCAACUGUGCACAUAUCAGCAUCAGUGCAGUAUGAGAAUGUCUUUCUCAUUUUUGAACGUUCUUUGUUUAAACUAUUGUUAUUGAUAUAACUGAACACAAAUCAUAAAUGUAUGGGGAAGACUGAGGGAGAAGUGUUUGAGACAAGAUCUGAAGCUCACUCCUUUGAAUGAUAUCUUUUUUUCCAGAGAAGGGCUUUGAUAACAGGGGAUUUUGACAGUAGAAAGAGUGGCCAUGUGUAUUAAUGCUCAUUGGUGUGCCUCUCCAGCAGGCCUCUCCAUUAAAACAUAUGGACAUAAACAGUAGUUUGAACUGUGACAGCACUGCCUGCAAGCCCUGUUGAUGCUCUCUGCACACCUUGUCUCAAGUGCUUCAGACUUAAUGUAUCGCCCCUUCCUAGUGUAAAUACUAACAGACUUGUAAAUAAAUAUGUAGAUAAUUCCAAGCGGGCAGGUUCAGAUGUAAAGACAAAUAUGAAUUAUACAUAUAUUCAUAAAUGUGGUCAUAUUUAUCUUGUUCUAGAAAAAUGCUGUAAAAUGAUGUUGGUGGUGUUAUUUUUCUCCCCGGCGCACACUAUUGCCAGAUUCACCGAGGAGUGAGUGAACUCGAGCACUGAACGCUGCAACAGAAAGCCAUGAAACUGCUAUCGGUACACGUGAAGACUUGACAGAGCAGAAUUUGCGUGUUUGUUUGAACGUUUUGCGCGUUUGUUCUUAAAUAUCAGUGCCCUGAGGAAAAACUCUCUGAACCGUCAGUCCGUCAUGAUGCUGCCCACUAACUCCCACACCAUUGCAUGUUUGAGGAACAGUAUUAUUUUGUAAAGAUUACUGCAUAGCGCUCUAGACCAUCUGAGGGAUUCUAUAAUAUGCUAAUAAUUGUUCACCCUUUUUGAAUGCAAUAAUUGGGAUAUGUUGCUUUUACAUGCAGUAUUUUUGUAUGUGUCAAUUCAAAAAGAUGGUGUGGAUGCUAUUCUGAUCAACCUGGAGUGGUUAAGGAUUUUACCAUGACAUCUGGCAUACUGUCAACACACACCCUGUUAGAGUGUGAUGUUAUUCCCUGGGAGUGCAAUGAUGUGGCACACAGAAGACCUGUCUGUGUAGUGUGGUUGUAUGACUGCUCUGUUCAUUUUCUCAGAGGAAUUGAAAGAUGCUGCAGUUUUUCUCUCAUAUCUGAAGGCCCAAAACUGACAGGACAUUUCAUUUUGUCAAUCAAAGUGCAAUUAUUUUGUUCUUGUGAACCUCAGAGAAGUGAAGAGGCCAUAUCCAACCCCCACUCUCUGCCCAACACUUGAUAGAAAGUCUUUCUUCAUUCCUUUUGCAGAUGAUAUGGUUUACUUUUUAUUUCUUGUUUUGUCUACUUCAGGGACUUAAACUCAAGAAGAUAAAGUCUCUGUUAUGUAUGAUAUGCCUCAGUGUGUGUGUGUGUGUGUGUGUGUUCUCAAUGAAUUAUAUUCUUGAAGAUUAUGGUGGCUGAGUAAUAUUAAUAGUUGUAGUGGUUAUAAAAUGAAAAUUGCAAGUGCCCUCACAUUAGAUAUUAAUGUCCUAAAGCUAAUGACAAGUUUUCUUGUGUACUUGAGGUUUUUGUCUGUGGUGGUUUCAUCAGUGUUUUUUUUAUGGAGGCAGGAGUGUCAUUAUACAAGAGCAUUGACUGAAUGUGUCUAUCUUGACUUUGAAGCUGAUCAAGGUCAGGUCUUGUCAAUAACUGACAGAAGCUGCAAUAGAAGCAUGGCUUUUUAAAAUAGCUCUCUUAUUUUUCAUACUCCAUUUGCUCUGGUGGCAUUUUGUGAACCACUGCACCCCACUGACAGUUUUAGUCAAAUGCCUGUGUUAACGUUAUUGAGCAAGUGGGGGAGGUGUUGUCGAGGCUUACAUUUUGUAAAUGCAAUAGACUUUGUCAGGGGGCGUGGAUUGUUUUCAGAUAAGCGUUAGCAUGCCCGCUCAAGCUGUGCUGUAGUCUGGUAAUGAUGGAGCUUUAAUAUUCAUAUUUCAUUCUUUCAUAUAUAUUUCACACAGAAGGUAUGAGCAAGUGAAGCUGUCACAUCGCUGUCUGCAAUGAUAUCAGGGUUACUAAAGGUCAAAGGUCAGCAGAUGACUAAGAGCAUGCCAACUUGAUGUUGCAAAGCAUCAAUGACCGUGAUGCGUGGCCAUUUUUGCACUUCCUAGCUUAUUGUGCGUGCUUUUGUUUUGAACCUGUUUUAGUCUGAUUAGUCACAAGAGGAGACAUGACUGUAAAGUGGGUUUUUUCUUUUUUAUUAUUAAUUUGUAGUUCUCACACAUCACUUUCUUUUAAGAGGAAGUUGAGGACACGAAAUCAUGGGUUAAAAGGGGGCAAAAAAACCUGGACAUAGAUGGCCAUGGGUUUAUGAUACAUACAUUUUAAACUGGACAUUACUAAUGGACAUCCAGCCUCUCCCAUGCUUCCACUCCAACUCCUGCUGAACUGUAGGACCCACCCCACCCUUCCUUCCUCUGCUUAGCAUAUCAAGUGGAACAACACAGUCUGUACUGUGAAGCCGACUGCAAUCCUUCAGAAUGUCAGAAAUAUAUAUAUAAAUAUAUAUUAAAGUCUACAUUUUUAAUAAUACGUUGUCCACGUCAUCUUUGUGCCUGCUGCUUUUCUUCUCAUGAUAUGUUACAACAAGUUCACAGGAUAUACUGUAUCAUGCUUGAAGCAGAGCUUUCUCUGUUUCUGAUUAAUUGGCUACAAUACCAAGGUCUGUGAUCUUCACUAUACACCAGCUUGAUGGAAAAGUUCUUGUGACGAUGCUUUGCCUCCACAUGCAUCCUCUGAAGAACCAAACUAACAAAACAAGAACUAGAUCAGCUCAAUAGAACAAGGAUUGAAUCACCAGACCAUAUUCUAUUGACACAGUGCAGUCACUUAUUGAGUGUAAUAUAGAUAGAGUAGGCCUAUAUUUCAUCUUGAACUACAGGAAAAGGUACCUAAAAUGGAUAAUAUCCUUAGAUGUCACAUAUUCAUAACAAAGCCCUGUGUCACGGAAGAACUGUCAAGGAGAGUUAAAGAUAGGGGGCAAAAUAUGACAAAAUGCUGUAAUUUGUCACGACACAUUAUUUUGAAAAUCUCUUAUGAAUCAGUAAUGUUACUGCCAUAGUUCACGUCAGCACACUUGUC